Molecule: long non-coding RNA, 265 nt
Organism: Terrapene triunguis (Three-toed box turtle)
Lineage: Eukaryota; Metazoa; Chordata; Testudines; Emydidae
Exons: 5
Source: RefSeq, a predicted model, not a curated record
CUGCUUUUGCUGCUGCUGCUGCUGUGCCUGGCCGGGGGCAGCCUGCAGGGGGGAGUGAAACCGCAGGCAAACGGAGCCCUAGGGCGUCUCUACCUGCCAUCGCUGAUCCGGGGACCAUACACCGGCUAUGGACCCCAAGGACUGCAGCCGGGACCGGGAGCUCAGAACGGGUUUGGAGUGGCACCAGGUGUACGGGUGAAGCCGGGCAAAGCAGGCUAUGGGGUCCCCGCUGGUUAUGGUGCAGGUAGGAGCGCCCCCAUCUCCC